UGGUAAAACUUUUAUUCAUAUGUACUAUUAAAAACUAGUGUAAUUGACGGAAUAAAAAAAACACGUGCUGAGCCACAUAUACCUUAAGUUGGCAUAUAAGAAUAAAUUUUUAACAGUAGAAUUUGAUGAAAUUUUUAAUA
Non-coding RNA from Gossypium raimondii (Peruvian cotton), 140 nucleotides. Lineage: Eukaryota; Viridiplantae; Streptophyta; Magnoliopsida; Malvales; Malvaceae. The record is from Rfam.